Molecule: ribosomal RNA, 258 nt
Filed under: uncultured bacterium
Lineage: Bacteria
Description: partial 16S ribosomal RNA
Rfam family: Bacterial small subunit ribosomal RNA
Source: RNAcentral
CGGGUGAGUAACACGUGAGUGACCUGCCUUUUAGACUGGAACAACUUACCGAAAGGUGAGCUAAUGCCGGAUGAGUUAUAUAAGUGCAUGUUUAUAUAGGAAAAGUUGGGGAGACCUGACGCUGAAAGAUGGACUCGCGUUCCAUUAGCUAGUUGGUAGGGUAAUGGCCUACCAAGGCGACGAUGGGUAGCCGGCCUGAGAGGGUGGCCGGCCACACUGGGACUGAGACACGGCCCAGACUCCUACGGGAGGCAGCAG